UCAAAAUAUUUGACACAGCACCUUAAAAACCAUAUAAUUAAGUGAGUCGAAAUGCCCUUUAACAGCUUCGCCUGUUCUGGUUUGGGUCCUGCGCAAUAGGAUGCCGUGAACCUUGUCAGGUCCGGAAGGAAGCAGCAAUAAGCGGAAGUUCUUAUGUGCCGCAGAUCAGCCUUCUUCAGAGUCAUGCGGAGCUGUUAAAGGGCAUUUGAUUUUGU
Molecule: signal recognition particle RNA, 215 nt
Filed under: Eubacterium minutum ATCC 700079
Lineage: Bacteria; Bacillati; Bacillota; Clostridia; Peptostreptococcales; Anaerovoracaceae
Description: signal recognition particle sRNA large type
Rfam family: Bacterial large signal recognition particle RNA
About the family: The signal recognition particle (SRP) is a universally conserved ribonucleoprotein involved in the co-translational targeting of proteins to membranes. Archaeal SRP consists of a 7S RNA and homologues of the eukaryotic SRP19 and SRP54 proteins.
Source: RNAcentral